GUGGGGAAUAUUGGGCAAUGGGCGAAAGCCUGACCCAGCAACGCCGCGUGAGGGAAGAAGGCCUUCGGGUUGUAAACCUCUGUCCUUGGUGACGAAAAAAAUGACGGUAGCCAAGGAGGAAGCCCCGGCUAACUACGUGCCAGCAGCCGCGGUAAUACGUAGGGGGCGAGCGUUGUCCGGAAUUACUGGGCGUAAAGGGUGCGUAGGUGGCCUUUUAAGUUGGAUGUGAAAUACCCGGGCUUAACUUGGGGGGUGCAUCUAAUACUGAAGGGCUAGAGUGCAGGAGAGGGAAGCGGAAUUCCUAGUGUAGCGGUGAAAUGCGUAGAUAUUAGGAGGAACACCAGUGGCGAAGGCGGCUUUCUGGACUGUAACUGACACUGAGGCACGAAAGCGUGGGGAGCAAACAGGAUUAGAUACCCGUGUAGUCC
RNAcentral lists this ribosomal RNA (428 nucleotides) under uncultured bacterium. Its description in RNAcentral is "partial 16S ribosomal RNA". It matches the Rfam family "Bacterial small subunit ribosomal RNA", at positions 354 to 796 of the family's 1533-position model. The record is from RNAcentral.